RNAcentral lists this ribosomal RNA (171 nucleotides) under Acanthamoeba sp. RNAcentral's name for it is "partial 18S ribosomal RNA". It matches the Rfam family "Eukaryotic small subunit ribosomal RNA", at positions 743 to 891 of the family's 1831-position model. The record is from RNAcentral. Lineage: Eukaryota; Discosea; Longamoebia; Acanthamoebidae.
GGCCCAGAUCGUUUACCGUGAAAAAAUUAGAGUGUUCAAAGCAGGCAGAUUCAAUUUUCUGCCACCGAAUACAUUAGCAUGGGAUAAUGGAAUAGGACCCUGUCCUCCUAUCUUCAGUUGGUUAACUUGUAGAGGAUCAGGGUAAUGAUUAAUAGGGAUAGUUGGGGGCAU